AUUGAACGCUGGCGGCAGGCCUAACACAUGCAAGUCGAACGGCAGCGGGGGAGAGCUUGCUAUCCUGCCGGCGAGUGGCGGACGGGUGAGUAAUGCAUGGGGAGCUGCCCAAUCGAGGGGGAUAACAACUGGAAACGGUUGCUAAUACCGCAUACGCCCUGCGGGGGAAAGGUGGGGACCUUCGGGCCUACCGCGAUUGGAUGCACCCAUGUGGGAUUAGCUAGUUGGUGAGGUAACGGCUCACCAAGGCGACGAUCUCUAGCUGGUCUGAGGAGAAGACAGGCCAACCUGGAACUGAGACACGGUCCAGACUCCUACGGGAGGCAGCAGUGUGGAAUAUUGCACACUGGGGGAAACCCUGAUGCAGCCAUGCCGCGUGUGUGAAAAAGGCCUUCGGGUUGUAAAGCACUUUCAGUGGGGAGGAAGGGCUGAUGACUAAUAUUCAUCAGCAUUGAUGUUACUCACAGAAGAAGCACCGGCUAACUCCGUGCCAGCCGCCGCAGUAA
RNAcentral lists this ribosomal RNA (506 nucleotides) under uncultured bacterium. Its description in RNAcentral is "partial 16S ribosomal RNA". It matches the Rfam family "Bacterial small subunit ribosomal RNA", at positions 30 to 523 of the family's 1533-position model. The record is from RNAcentral.